Molecule: ribosomal RNA, 492 nt
Filed under: uncultured bacterium
Lineage: Bacteria
Description: bacterial SSU rRNA
Rfam family: Bacterial small subunit ribosomal RNA
Source: RNAcentral
GAUGAACGCUAGCGGCAGGCUUAACACAUGCAAGUCGAGGGGCAGCAUAAUGGAUAGCAAUAUCUAUGGUGGCGACCGGCGCACGGGUGCGUAACGCGUAUGCAACCUACCUUUAACAGGGGGAUAACACUGAGAAAUUGGUACUAAUACCCCAUAAUAUCAUAGAAGGCAUCUUUUAUGGUUGAAAAUUCCGAUGGUUAGAGAUGGGCAUGCGUUGUAUUAGCUAGUUGGUGGGGUAACGGCUCACCAAGGCGACGAUACAUAGGGGGACUGAGAGGUUAACCCCCCANACUGGUACUGAGACACGGACCAGACUCCUACGGGAGGCAGCAGUGAGGAAUAUUGGUCAAUGGACGCAAGUCUGAACCAGCCAUGCCGCGUGCAGGAUGACGGCUCUAUGAGUUGUAAACUGCUUUUGUACUAGGGUAAACUCACCUACGUGUAGGUGACUGAAAGUAUAGUACGAAUAAGGAUCGGCUAACUCCGUGCCAG